AACGCUAGCUACAGGCUUAACACAUGCAAGUCGAGGGGUAGCAGGGCAGCAAUGCCGCUGACGACCGGCGCACGGGUGAGUAACACGUAUCCAACCUACCUUCUACUUGGGAAUAGGCUUUCGAAAGAAAGAUUAAUACCCGAUGGCAUAAAGAGUCCGCAUGUUCUCUUUAUUAAAGAAUUUCGGUAAAAGAUGGGGAUGCGUUCCAUUAGAUAGUUGGUGAGGUAACGGCUCACCAAGUCUUCGAUGGAUAGGGGUUCUGAGAGGAAGGUCCCCCACAUUGGAACUGAGACACGGUCCAAACUCCUACGGGAGGCAGCAGUGAGGAAUAUUGGUCAAUGGGCGAUGGCCUGAACCAGCCAAGUAGCGUGAAGGAUGACUGCCCUAUGGGUUGUAAACUUCUUUUAUAAGGGAAUAACAGCAGGAACGUGUUCCUGUUUGCAUGUACCUUACGAAUAAGGAUCGGCUAACUCCGUGCCAGCAGCCGCGGUAAUACGGAGGAUCCAAGCGUUAUCCGGAUUUAUUGGGUUUAAAGGGUGCGUAGGCGGAAAGAUCAGUCAGUUGUGAAAGUUUGAGGCUCAACCUUAAAAUUGCAAUUGAUACUGUCUUUCUUGAGUGUACAAGAGGUGGGCGGAAUUCGUGGUGUAGCGGUGAAAUGCUUAGAUAUCACGAAGAACUCCGAUUG
This 685-nucleotide ribosomal RNA is filed under the name uncultured bacterium. RNAcentral describes it as "bacterial SSU rRNA". It matches the Rfam family "Bacterial small subunit ribosomal RNA", at positions 32 to 715 of the family's 1533-position model. The record is from RNAcentral.